RNAcentral lists this transfer RNA (105 nucleotides) under Candidatus Woesearchaeota archaeon. RNAcentral's name for it is "tRNA-Asp". Lineage: Archaea; Nanobdellati; Candidatus Woesearchaeota. The record is from RNAcentral.
GCCCUGGUAGUGUAGCCUGGCAUGGCACCCACUAAAAGGGUGCUGCAGCAACUAUCACGCAGCCCUGUCACGGCUGCGACCCGGGUUCAAAUCCCGGCCAGGGCG